CUAUACAUGACUCUGCGCAUAUCAAUAAGCGGAGGAAAAGAAACUAACAAGGAUUCCCUUAGUAACGGCGAGUGAAGCGGGAGGAGCUCAAAUUUGAAAUCUUAAAGGGUUUCCCUUUACGAAUUGUAGUUUAAAGAAGUGUUUUCUGUUGAGGUUUUGGUAAAAGUUCUUUGGAAUAGGACAUCAUAGAGGGUGAGAAUCCCGUAUUUGACCUUUACUUUCAACUUUGUGAUACACUUUCAAAGAGUCGGAUUGUUUGGGAAUGCAGUCCAAAAUGGGUGGUAAAUUUCAUCUAAAGCUAAAUAUUGGCGAGAGACCGAUAGCGAACAAGUACCGUGAGGGAAAGAUGAAAAGAACUUUGAAAAGAGGGUUAAACAGUACGUGAAAUUGUCAAAAGGGAAGCGUUUGACACCAGUGUUGUUUUUCUGAAAAUCAAUUAAAGAACUGUUUAUGCUGAAGUUGUUUAGACUUUAUCAGCUAACUGUUUAGUUUUGAGCUUUUCUUUAAUGCACUUUUCAGUUAACAAGUCAACAUCAAUUUCUUUUGCUGUAAAAAAGCUUGAGGAAGGUGGCUUGAGAUUCGUCUUAAGUGUUUAUAGCCUCUUGCCUAUGCAGUCGGAGAGAUUGAGGUCUGCAGCGUAGAUCCCUUCGGGGCUAAAUGCAUUUGUGCUAAGUUAUAGCAUUUUAUAGACAACUUGUUGACUAUGAUUUGUCUUGUAGCUUACUCGCUUAUGUUAUUUUACCUACGCUUAGGAUGUUGACAGCAGUAUAGACUGU
RNAcentral lists this ribosomal RNA (776 nucleotides) under uncultured Neocallimastigales. RNAcentral's name for it is "partial large subunit ribosomal RNA". It matches the Rfam family "Eukaryotic large subunit ribosomal RNA", at positions 22 to 637 of the family's 3401-position model. The record is from RNAcentral. Lineage: Eukaryota; Fungi; Neocallimastigomycota; Neocallimastigomycetes; Neocallimastigales.